CCUCGUUGUGGGUAGGCCGAGCCCUGCCAGGGCGCGGACGUGGGGGAGCGUCCGGCGGGGGGUGCUCACGGCGGCUCCGUUGCCGCCGUCGAGGACC
RNAcentral lists this transfer RNA (97 nucleotides) under Cellulomonas soli. RNAcentral describes it as "tRNA-Arg". The record is from RNAcentral. Lineage: Bacteria; Bacillati; Actinomycetota; Actinomycetes; Micrococcales; Cellulomonadaceae.